GUUUCGUGCGCACCUCCGGGCGGAAUUACCGGCCGGCUGGGACCCCGCUCCCGGUCUGAGCCACCCAGGUUAUAGAAGGGGAAUCUCGGGAAGCUUUCCAAGUCACUGCCCACGUCUUCGAACUUCCUCGGGGUGACGAGGACCUCCCUAUUAGGAGGUCCAGAGAGAAUUUGCCCAAAGUUACCCCGAGUGAGUGACAGAACUGGAAACCCGGAGAUCCUGUCUUUCAAAACCGGAAGGCUCUUCCCAGUAAACCUGACGGCCUCUGACUGAGGCCGUAUCCAUUGGCUACCAAAGGGAAGGCCGAGGAACCUCGUAUUGUAACCUUAACAGCUACUCAGAGGUAUACUGACCACUGGUUUUACUUUUGGAUUGCACCUUAGAAUCCUAACUUACUGUAAGGACCCACCGACUUUAGAACCUAUCUAGGACAAGGAACCGAGGUCCGGAAAAAGGGAAGCAACUUGUCCAAGGACAUAGACGCUAAUCAGUAACAGAGCAGCCGAGAACUCAGGUCUCCUAGCUCUAGUCCAGGGCUCUUUCUCUUGUGAUUUUGGACAACUUGACAGAGAGGUAUGUUGGUAUGUUGGCAGCAGACCUCUGUGCUUUCCCGGAUCAAGCAUCCUGGGAUCUUGAACAACAGUUAAAGCAACAUUGCAUAGAGAAAAUGGGAUAGAAGGGUCAAACGGUGCUGAAGGCAGAGGUGUCCUAACAGCCGGGAACUUAACAGAGGGACGGAAUUUAUUUAGUAGUGAAAGUGGCUCAUGACAGGCAUCAUACUCUCAAGACUUCGCUGAUGGACUGUGAAUGGGAUGGUUGCAGUAAGAAACCAUUCUAACAAUGGAAUCUCUUCAGAAUUCAGAAGAAACAGGGAGGGAAAUUUGCCCUCUCCCUUGAUAACAUUUAUUGUUCAUAUAUGUUCACUUGCUAGGAAACGGGGAUAGAAAUAAAUAAGAUCCGAGUCCUGCUCUCAAGGAUACACAGCCUUGUAGCAAGUACACAAAGGCCAAUGCACCUUUUCCCAGGGGACACUGAGGAGUCAAAAACAAAAUUUGUGUGAGUUCUCAAUGUCAUCCUAGCCUUCCCCUAAAAGCAAAAAGGAGGAAGGGGAGGAAAGAGGACGUGUCCUUUUUUCUUGUCAUUCUGUGUGACAGCCCUAUUUGGUUGUCAGCGGUGUACAAAAGCAGCAGUGAACCCAGCACUUGUUCUACCCUUAGCCUAAGGUGCCGGCAGCAAGUGCCUAGCAAAUGAACAUAUAUGAACAAUGAAUAAAGGCUCUUUACUCUUCAUUCCUCCUUUCUACCCAUCUUUAUUAGUUACUUAUUGCUGGAUAAAAAAAAAGUUCCUCAAAGCUUAAGGGUUUAAAACUUAUUAGCUUAGUAAGUUAAACAGCGAUAAAUAUUAUCUCAGUUUCUGUGUGUCAGGAAUUCAGGAGCGGCAUAGUUGGGUGGUUUUGGCUCAGGGCAUUAUGAUGUUGCAGUCAAGAAGCCUGCCAGGGCUGCAGUCAUCUGAAGGCUUCAGGGGGACUACGGGAGGCUCUUUCAGCAUGGAUCAUUCACAUAGCUAGCCCCAGCUUAUAAAUCUAUGAAGGUGUCCAGGUCCUGCCAGACUCCGCUGCAUCUUUUGCUUUCACUCCAGCAGGGUAGCAGCAUGCUGCCUGUGCCAAGGCAAUCACUAAAAGGAAAGGAUUUAAUGCUGUCAAAAAAGCUUAUGCCAGCUUAGGCUGCAGGAAGAGGAACAGUGUCAAGUAUGUUGAAAGUGGACAUAUUGGUCAGACCUCCAUGAGAGCCUAGGGGGCAUUGCUUAGCAGCACGCUUUUAAAGGAAUCUGAACAAACCAGCAUGUGGAAAGAAGAGAGUAACCACAGCAAUCAGGAAACAACUGUACAAUCUAGGGCCAUUUCAUUGGAAAAACAGAAGUCUCCAGGGAGCUGCAGUCAUCAAACAGGCUUAUUCUGUGUACCCAGUGGGCAAGUACAGUCAAUGGAUGAAAAUUCAACCAAUGGACAAACACAGGAAGUUUUUCCUUAACAUGAGUUGUCAGAAACUGUCCAAAAUUCCAAAGAGCUGCCUCAAGGUAGUGGAAAUUUUUUUUUUUUUUUAAUCAGGAAGGUGCUGAAUGAAGCCAGCAAGGAUUCUGUGUCAGAGGGUGGUAGAUACCCAGGACAUAAGGUUGAACCACGUGACCUCUGAGACCACAGUUCUAAGCUGUUGAAACCUCAGUCCCUGCUGAAUACUGAAAUGGUAUUAGCACCCUUUAGUCUACAUCAAGAAUUCGUUCUACCCAGUUUUGGUGGUACCAAGACUGAUCUCUUUCUCAUAGAUAAUUCUUAACAGAAUAAAAGCUACAGGUUGAAACCAAUUCCCUUUAAAAUGUGGACAGUUGACCAUCUCCAUGAUAGGUAGUUAGGCACUGAAUUAAUGCUUUUUAAUGGAAGAGCCACCCUAAGAUUCCUGGAGUGUGGUAUAAUGGAGUACUAAAUCAGCAUAGGACUAAUAACUGCCUCCCGUGUAAACUGGUCUAUCCGGAGAGUGGUAUAGCCUCUCAUACAGUGUUCAAAGGCAGAUUUAACUCACUGCAGGUCCACAGCAACCGAUAAGAUAAACUCGUUGGUUAUGGUCUCCCACUUUGCAAAGGAGAGCACAGAGGAAGAGGAAACUGAGAUAACUUGGUUUAGGACCCCACAGCUGGCUGGAGCUGGGCUGAACAUUAGUUCAUUGUUUCUUCGAUUAAUCUAUGCUGCUUUUUCUCUACUUGGCUCCUUUUCUAAAUUAAACAAAACAAAACAAAAAACACUGGGCACAGAGUGGUGUAUAUGUGUGUGAGAGAGAGACAGAGAUAGAGAAAGACUAAGCGAAAGAGAAAAGAGAGAGGCUGAGUGAGAUUCAGAUAAAAUAAGGCACAAGUCAUGGGCUAGUCUGUUGUACAGUGUACUUGUCAUAUAUUUGAAUGCCUUUAACAAUGGAGACAGUUUUGAUGGAAAUAGGGCCUUGAAGAAAUGCAUAUCCGCACCCUGGUGGUAUGUUAUAACUAAACGGGUUGGUUUUUUGUUUCGGAGUUUUUUGGGUUUCUUUUUAAUGCAAAGGUAUAUAUUUAAAAUACCCUGUAGCUUCCUUCUCUCCUUCAUUUCAUUUCCUUAAGUAUGAGAGAGGUUUUCUGGAUGACGGGACAUCCAAACUGGAAGUGCCCUCAGAUCCCAUCAACUCCCAUCCCCAUGUUUGAGAAGCACGUAAAGUAAGCUCCAGAAGAGCUCCCAGACAACGUCGGCACACAAUUAUCAGAGGACUUUUCCCUGAUGGCAGAAAGCUACUGACAUUUCCA
This 3321-nucleotide long non-coding RNA is filed under the name Homo sapiens (human). Its description in RNAcentral is "HSALNT0317640". The record is from RNAcentral. Lineage: Eukaryota; Metazoa; Chordata; Mammalia; Primates; Hominidae.